RNAcentral lists this transfer RNA (67 nucleotides) under Gryllotalpa orientalis (oriental mole cricket). RNAcentral's name for it is "tRNA-Ser". Lineage: Eukaryota; Metazoa; Arthropoda; Insecta; Orthoptera; Gryllotalpidae. The record is from RNAcentral.
GAAAUGUGAUGUUCAAAUAGAAGCUGCUAACUUCAUACUUUAACGGUUAAAUUCCGUUUACAUUUCU